GAUGAACGCUGGCGGCGUGCCUAAUACAUGCAAGUCGAGCGAACGGACGAGAAGCUUGCUUUUCUGAUGUUAGCGGCGGACGGGAGAGUAACACGUGGAUAACCUACCUAUAAGACUGGGAUAACUUCGGGAAACCGGAGCUAAUACCGGAUAAUAUUUUGAACCGCAUGGUUCAAAAGUGAAAGACGGUCUUGCUGUCAGUUAUAGAUGGAUCCGCGCUGCAUUAGCUAGUUGGUAAGGUAACGGCUUACCAAGGCAACGAUGCAUAGCCGACCUGAGAGGGUGAUCGGCCACACUGGAACUGAGACACGGUCCAGACUCCUACGGGAGGCAGCAGUAGGGAAUCUUCCGCAAUGGGCGAAAGCCUGACGGAGCAACGCCGCGUGAGUGAUGAAGGUCUUCGGAUCGUAAAACUCUGUUAUUAGGGAAGAACAUAUGUGUAAGUAACUGUGCACAUCUUGACGGUACCUAAUCAGAAAGCCACGGCUAACUACGUG
This 497-nucleotide ribosomal RNA is filed under the name uncultured bacterium. RNAcentral describes it as "partial 16S ribosomal RNA". It matches the Rfam family "Bacterial small subunit ribosomal RNA", at positions 28 to 507 of the family's 1533-position model. The record is from RNAcentral.